Molecule: long non-coding RNA, 4248 nt
Organism: Oncorhynchus tshawytscha (Chinook salmon)
Lineage: Eukaryota; Metazoa; Chordata; Actinopteri; Salmoniformes; Salmonidae
Source: Ensembl
AUCAAACCUUUUAAAAAAAAGGCAUGAGGAGUUGGAUUAUAUUUUGUACUGAACACACGUUAUAAACAAAGCCUUAUAAAACACCUCCGGUAGUAAUGUGGCUUUACUAAUACUGCCUUAUAACACUUCUUGUCAUGUCAUAGCUAGAAACGUACAGGAAACUUAGGAAGAGCCUUUUUUUAAAUACUUUAAAAAAAUAUUGUAUCAGUGAGGAGGCAGAAUAACAAUAUAUAGAAACAGACAGAACAAGGCAAAAAAGAGGAGAAACAAUGACUGAGAUAGUUGAGAGAAAAAAAAAAUCUUUAAUGACAAAAGGAGAUUUUGUGAUUGAAAGAACACACACUUGUUCCAACUUUCACAUAGAAAAGAUGCAUUCACACUGCACCUUAACUCGGGGCUAAGAGCCUCGUCAGGCCUGGGCUAUGGGAGAUUUUAGCCCAGGGCUAAGCAAAUAUUCACACCAACCUUAGCCCAGGGCUAAGAGCCUCGUCAGGCCUGGGCUAUGGGAGAUUUUAGCCCAGGCCUAAGCGAAUAUUCACACCAACCUUAGCCCAGGGCUAAGAGCCUCGUCAGGCCUGGGCUAUGGGAGAUUUUAGCCCAGGGCUAAGAGCCUCGUCAGGCCUGGGCUAUGGGAGAUUUUAGAACAACGCAUAGAAUCUUUACUGUCCAAUCACAAAAGCUGCACAUUCACUUAACUUACAUACGCUUGUGAUGCGUUCUGCCGUUUUAAUAAAUACAUUUAUACUAUUUCAUCUAUCAGAGGACGAAAACUAAAAAUAAAUAAAAACAAUACGUUCAUCUAUGCAAAAACAUUUGGUUUCUAUGGCUAAUAAAAAUAAUAAUACAAAUAAAUCAUAAAAUUGGUUGCUCUGCCGGCUGGCUAACUUCUUCUCACUGAGCUAGCCAACCGAAGCCACAAACUCUACAGCUGGAAGGGCAUCAAGCUCUUUCCUCUGUUUUCACAUUAGACAUGUACUUGGAUUAUGGCUAUCCCAUGACAAUAAAAUAUUGUUGCAUGAUUUCGCCUGGAUCAGAAACGUUGAUGUCUCGUCUCUUGCACAGAAUUCUCUGUACAGGGCGCGAGAUCGCAUUUCAAAAGAGAAACAGUUUAUUCCCCCCCAGGCAGGCGGACAGCGAGGUUUAAACAAGUCAUCACUAAAAGCUUGUGUGAACCGUGAAGACAGGAUAAACUGGUCCAGGGUCAGUCUUAGCCUGGGGCUAAGAUCACUGCAGUGUGAAAAAGCUUAUAGCAUUGGAUUCAUUAACAACAAUAGCAUCUGUAAAGAAAAACAUAUAACCAGCAGAAAUGGCAUAUAUAUAUAUAUAUAUAUAUAUAAAUAAACAUCCACAACACUCACCCCUUUGAAGAACAGAGUUAGAAGGUGAAAAUGGGCAUCCCUGACGCCUAAAUUACCAACUAAAGGAAACCGUCCAUAUUUAACCAGUCAAACUGUGCGUCCCAAAUGGGACCCUAUUGGCAUUAUAGGGGAAUAGAGAAUGUGGGAAAAUAAGGAACAGGGUGCCACUAUAUAGGGCAUAGGGUGCCACUAUAUAGGGAAUAGGGUGCCACUAUAUAGGGUACCAUCAUAUAGGGAAUAGGGUGCCACUAUAUAGGGAAUAGGGUGCCACUAUAUAGGGAAUAGGGUGCCACUAUAUAGGGUACCAUCAUAUAGGGGAAUAGGGUGCCACUAUAUAGGGAAUAGGGUGCCACUAUAUAGGGAAUAGGGUGCCAUCAUAUAGGGAAUAGGGUGCCACUAUAUAGGGUACCAUCAUAUAGGGAAUAGGGUGCCACUAUAUAGGGAAUAGGGUGCCACUAUAUAGGGUACCAUCAUAUAGGGAAUAGGGUACCAUCAUAUAGGGAAUAGGGUGCCACUAUAUAGGGAAUAGGGUGCCACUAUAUAGGGAAUAGGGUACCAUCAUAUAGGGAAUAGGGUGCCAUCAUAUAGGGAAUAGGGUGCCAUCAUAUAGGGAAUAGGUGCCACUAUAUAGGGCAUAGGGUGCCACUAUAUAGGGCAUAGGGUACCAUCAUAUAGGGAAUAGGGUGCCACUAUAUAGGGAAUAGGGUGCCAUCAUAUAGGGAAUAGGGUACCAUCAUAUAGGGAAUAGGGUGCCACUAUAUAGGGCAUAGGGUGCCACUAUAUAGGGUACCAUCAUAUAGGGAAUAGGGUGCCACUAUAUAGGGAAUAGGGUGCCACUAUAUAGGGUACCAUCAUAUAGGGAAUAGGGUGCCACUAUAUAGGGAAUAGGGUGCCACUAUAUAGGGCAUAGGGUGCAACUAUAUAGGGCAUAGGGUGCCAUCAUAUAGGGAAUAGGGUGCCACUAUAUAGGGAAUAGGGUGCCACUACAUAGGGUACCAUCAUAUAGGGAAUAGGGUGCCACUAUAUAGGGAAUAGGGUGCCAUCAUAUAGGGAAUAGGGUGCCAUCAUAUAGGGAAUAGGGUGCCACUAUAUAGGGCAUAGGGUGCAACUAUAUAGGGCAUAGCGUGCCAUCAUAUAGGGCGCCAUCAUAUAGGGAAUAGGGUGCCAUCAUAUAGGGAAUAGGGUGCCAUCAUAUAGGGAAUAGGGUGCCAUCAUAUAGGGAAUAGGGUGCCAUCAUAUAGGAAUAGGGUACCACUAUAUAGGGCAUAGGGUGCCAUCAUAUAGGGCAUAGGGUGCCAUCAUAUAGGGCACCACUAUAUAGGGAAUAGGGUGCCAUCAUAUAGGGAAUAGGGUGCCAUCAUAUAGGGCAUAGGGUGCCAUCAUAUAGGGCAUAGGGUACCACUAUAUAGGGCAUAGGGUACCACUAUAUAGAGCAUAGGGUGCUAUCAUAUAGGGCAUAGCAUGCCAUCAUAUAGGGCAUAGCGUGCCAUCAUAUAGGGCAUAGGGUGCCAUCAUAUAGGGCAUAGGGUGCCAUCAUAUAGGGCAUAGGGUGCCAUCAUAUAGGGCAUAGGGUGCCAUCAUAUAGGGCAUAGGGUGCCAUCAUAUAGGGCAUAGGGUACCACCAUAUAGGGCAUAGGGUGCCAUCAUAUAGGGCAUAGGGUGCCAUCAUAUAGGGCAUAGGGUGCCAUCAUAUAGGGCAUAGGGUGCCAUCAUAUAGGGCAUAGGGUGCCACUAUAUAGGGAAUAGGGUGCCACUAUAUAGGGAACAGGGUGCCAUCAUAUAAGGAAUAGGGUGCCAUCAUAUAGGGAACAGGGUGCCAUCAUAUAGGGAACAGGGUGCCAUCAUAUAGGGAAUAGGGUGCCAUCAUAUAGGGAAUAGGGUGCCAUCAUAUAGGGAAUAGGGUGCCAUCAUAUAGGGAAUAGGGUGCCAUCAUAUAGGGAAUAGGGUGCCAUCAUAUAGGGCAUAGGGUGCCACUAUAUAGGGCAUAGGGUACCACUAUAUAGGAACAGGGUGCCAUCAUAUAGGGAAUAGGGUGCCAUCAUAUAGGGAAUAGGGUGCCAUCAUAUAGGAAUAGGGUGCCAUCAUAUAGGGAAUAGGGUGCCAUCAUAUAGGGAAUAGGGUGCCAUCAUAUAGGGAAUAGGGUGCCAUCAUAUAGGGAAUAGGGUGCCAUCAUAUAGGGAAUAGGGUGCCAUUUGAGAUACAACCAAAGGAUUCCAGAGGAACGGAGGUCUAUUCAUUCACACUUUACAUACAAGUGCCAGAAACACAUGGAGUCACCAUGACUCCCAGUCAGUGGUUCCCAGUCAGUGGUUCCCAGUCAGUGGUUCCCAGUCAGAGUACAUAGAAGAAUGUAGAAUCAGUGGGCAGAAAACAACUUGUACUCGGUGUGUUCCUCCACACCUCAAUGUAUGUUUGAUGAUUUUUUAAAGGGUUUUAAAUCAUUUUAAAAUCAUUUUCCUCUCUUACUCUAAAGUGCAUCAAACACCGCUUAUAUUAAAUAAACCUCUUCAAUCUAAAACUUGUGUGAUUAUGACUAUAAAUGUAGGACCUUUGAAACCUGAAUUCUCAGCUUUUGGCUAAAUACUUCUACAAACAGCGAAACCCUUUGCAAUAGCUUUACAUACAUAGAAGGUGACCUUUAUAACAUCAGCUCUCCCACAGAGAGAAGAAGGAUUCAAGCGCUUUAGAUUGACCAAUGACCAAUUGACCAAUGACCAAUGACCAAUGACCAAUGACCAUUGACCAAUGACCAAUGACCAAUGACCAAUGACCAAUGACCAAUGACCAAUGACCAUUGACCAAUGACCAAUGACCAAUGACCAAUGACCAAUGACCAAUGACCAAUGACAAAUGACCAAUGACCAAUGACCAAUGACAAAUGACCAUUGAC